RNAcentral lists this ribosomal RNA (480 nucleotides) under uncultured bacterium. RNAcentral's name for it is "partial 16S ribosomal RNA". It matches the Rfam family "Bacterial small subunit ribosomal RNA", at positions 356 to 827 of the family's 1533-position model. The record is from RNAcentral.
UGGGAAUUUUGGACAAUGGGCGCAAGCCUGAUCCAGCCAUGCCGCGUGCGGGAAGAAGGCCUUCGGGUUGUAAACCGCUUUUGNCAGGGAAGAAAUCUUCUGAGUUAAUACCUCGGGAGGAUGACGGUACCUGAAGAAUAAGCACCGGCUAACUACGUGCCAGCAGCCGCGGUAAUACGUAGGGUGCAAGCGUUAAUCGGAAUUACUGGGCGUAAAGCGUGCGCAGGCGGUUUUGUAAGACAGAGGUGAAAUCCCCGGGCUCAACCUGGGAACUGCCUUUGUGACUGCAAGGCUUGAGUGCGGCAGAGGGGGAUGGAAUUCCGCGUGUAGCAGUGAAAUGCGUAGAUAUGCGGAGGAACACCGAUGGCGAAGGCAAUCCCCUGGGCCUGCACUGACGCUCAUGCACGAAAGCGUGGGGAGCAAAACAGAUUAGAUACCCUGGUAGUCCACGCCCUAAAACGAUGUCAACUGGUUGUUGGG